UUCGCCCUUAGAGUUUGAUCCUGGCUCAGGACGAACGCUGGCGGCGCGCCUAACACAUGCAAGUCGAACGGAGUCAAGAGGAGCUUGCUUUUCUUGACUUAGUGGCGAACGGGUGAGUAACGCGUGAGUAACCUGCCCUAGAGUGGGGGACAACAGUUGGAAACGACUGCUAAUACCGCAUAAGCCCACGGAUCCGCAUGGAUCUGCGGGAAAAGGAUUUAUUCGCUUUAGGAUGGACUCGCGUCCAAUUAGCUAGUUGGUGAGGUAACGGCCCACCAAGGCGACGAUUGGUAGCCGGACUGAGAGGUUGAACGGCCACAUUGGGACUGAGACACGGCCCAGACUCCUACGGGAGGCAGCAGUGGGGGAUAUUGCACAAUGGGGGAAACCCUGAUGCAGCGACGCCGCGUGGAGGAAGAAGGUUUUCGGAUUGUAAACUCCUGUCGUUAGGGACGAUAAUGACGGUACCUAACAAGAAAGCACCGGCUAACUACGUGCCAGCAGCCGCGGUAAAACGUAGGGUGCAAGCGUUGUCCGGAAUUACUGGGUGUAAAGGGAGCGCAGGCGGACCGGCAAGUUGGAAGUGAAAACUAUGGGCUCAACCCAUAAAUUGCUUUCAAAACUGCUGGCCUUGAGUAGUGCAGAGGCAGGUGGAAUUCCCGGUGUAGCGGUGGAAUGCGUAGAUAUCGGGAGGAACACCAGUGGCGAAGGCGACCUACUGGGCACCAACUGACGCUGAGGCUCGAAAGCAUGGGUAGCAAACAGGAUUAGAUACCCUGGUAGUCCAUGCCGUAAACGAUGAUUACUAGGUGUUGGAGGAUUGACCCCUUCAGUGCCGCAGUUAACACAAUAAGUAAUCCACCUGGGGAGUACGACCGCAAGGUUGAAACUCAAAGGAAUUGACGGGGGCCCGCACAAGCAGUGGAGUAUGUGGUUUAAUUCGAAGCAACGCGAAGAACCUUACCAGGUCUUGACAUCCGAUGCAUAGCACAGAGAUGUGUGAAGUCCUUCGGGACAUCGAGACAGGUGGUGCAUGGUUGUCGUCAGCUCGUGUCGUGAGAUGUUGGGUUAAGUCCCGCAACGAGCGCAACCCUUAUUGCCAGUUACUACGUUAAGAGGACUCUGGCGAGACUGCCGUUGACAAAACGGAGGAAGGUGGGGAUGACGUCAAAUCAUCAUGCCCUUUAUGACCUGGGCUACACACGUACUACAAUGGCGUUAAACAAAGAGAAGCAAGACCGCGAGGUGGAGCAAAACUCAAAAACAACGUCUCAGUUCAGAUUGCAGGCUGCAACUCGCCUGCAUGAAGUCGGAAUUGCUAGUAAUCGCGGAUCAGCAUGCCGCGGUGAAUACGUUCCCGGGCCUUGCACACACCGCCCGUCA
RNAcentral lists this ribosomal RNA (1383 nucleotides) under uncultured bacterium. RNAcentral's name for it is "16S ribosomal RNA". It matches the Rfam family "Bacterial small subunit ribosomal RNA". The record is from RNAcentral.